CCACAUUCUGAGAACUUCCUACCCGGUAGCUCUUCGCUUCCUUCAGAGCGGCCUGGCCCCGCUCCAUUCACCUCGACAUGAACAGCAAAGGCAAAAAUCGACCUGGCACCCAACUUGUACACCUUCCCACCGAGAGCAGCAAAAGCUCUCAGUGUCAGAGAAGCACACAGCUCAGUAGAGACUCUAGAAGAACGGCAGCCACGCCCUGGCAAUCUGAUGCAACCCGCUCAGAUCACCAUGCCACAAACCCCAGCCAUUACCCUGGAACAAAGCAGAUCUUAUGAAGAGCCCCAUGGUCUAACUCUUGUCUGCGAUACAUUGCUCUUCCCUCUGUCUCUCCUUGUAAUUCCAGGUAACACAAAUAAAGUUCGCUGUAGAGCCCUAUUAGCCUAAAACUUCCAAGCUAAUUUACUGGCCCAAGAUUUAGGUCAGUGCUGUCCCAACUACAACAGAGGAGGCGACCAAUUUCUAUCCUUAAAACUCUGAUCUGCAGAGGAAGCAAAAGAAGAUGGUCUUGAGUAGCUUUAAAAGCAUCAGCUCAGAUUAUUGUACUCAUUCCAGCACGACCACGAAAUGCAGGAACUGUGAAGAAUAAGUGGAUACUGAGAAGGAGGAUCGUCCUUCCACAGCACUGAGCACCAUCUAAGGGCCCCUUUCUGCAAGCUGACUCCCUCCCUGAGCUUCACAGCCGCACAUUCAGAGGAGCAGGCUGGCCCAGGCCUCAGAGAGCACCACCGCGAGGCGACACCCCCAAGGCCUGGGCAAGAGUGGUAUUUCCCUAAGGUUUGAUGAGGUAACUGCCAAUGCUCUUUAACCAAGAUUAGCGGGUAACAGGAGAGUGGAAUCUUCUUAACACCGUUGACAGGAAACCUAUUUUGAGCCCAGCAAAGGCCAAACACCUCCAUAUUAAGAAACACUUUAAACAGGCAAUACUAAAUCAUUAAACCUUAAAAAUC
This is a long non-coding RNA of Equus caballus (horse), 956 nucleotides long. RefSeq lists it as uncharacterized. NCBI's taxonomy places the organism in Eukaryota, Metazoa, Chordata, Mammalia, Perissodactyla, Equidae. The record is from RefSeq and is a predicted model, not a curated record.